This is a long non-coding RNA of Vicia villosa (hairy vetch), 1145 nucleotides long. RefSeq lists it as uncharacterized. The transcript is spliced from 2 exons. The record is from RefSeq and is a predicted model, not a curated record. Lineage: Eukaryota; Viridiplantae; Streptophyta; Magnoliopsida; Fabales; Fabaceae.
UAUAAUAAUACACCUCCAAUAAGUAACCUUGAUGAAAUUAAUCACCUCACUUGUUCCAGCAACUCAAUUCCUCAAAGAGAUUGUACAACAAUAAGUCAUUUUAGAUGCUUUGCUUUUUUAAAGCGCUUAAGAUAGUUAUUUUGAUGUCUAUACUAUUUUGACAAAAAUUAAUAUUAGUACUUGUAUUCCUAAUCUUUAUAACAAGUGUAUUAAUAGCUAUAUAUUUUAGAUUAGAGUAUUAAUAGACAUAGAGAUAUGGUAGUUUGAACUCUCUCAACUUGUUUACGAAUUAAUACUUGUUGAUUUUUUUUUCUUUUUCUUUUCUUUUUGAUUAAUAGUACUUGUUGAUUUGACAACUAGCCAAUUGAUUUGAAGAAUAGUCAUUAUUAUAUCACCUAUUCAUUAUUUUGGAUAUGAUCAUAACUUUCAGUUCGGCUCACAUUCAUUUAUUUAACAACUAUUGAUUAAUAGUUCGGCUCGACAUGACCGUAUCAGUAUCUCCAAAUAUCAAUAUCGUUAUUCAUCAUUUUUAUACAUGUUAUUACUUUCUUUUACCUAGAGAUUUAGUUUGAAAACCGUGUUCUUUCAACUUUGAUCUUCAUCUGAUACAUCACAUUGCUCCAGUGGCUUAACAACUGCCGUGGGUCAGAAAAAUUAGGCUGUUUCUGGAAGAAAUACUACAAAAGAGGUUUGUGAAAAGUGAACGUGCUUUAGUUCCACAAUGGUUGAGAAGUAAUGGAAGUGUUACUAGUUCAACCCACCAUUUUGCAUCUUCAUCUAAUCACACUGAUACUCAUACUGUAGCUCACUCAAGGAAUAGGUCUUCUAAGACAACUAGUGAUUUUGAUAGUCCUCGUUCUGUGUUUCUUGAACGGGCAUUUUCGUCAUAUUCUCGGAGGGGCACUAUCAACGGCUCGGUAUGGUUACCAUUGAUACAUGUGGAAAGUAGUUGGAUUCAAUUGGACUAGAGAACACCGAAGCUAACCGUCAAGCAUGGCGUAAAAUUAUAUAUGAAGAAAGUGUUAUGAUUUAGUUAAAAUAUAAUUUUUAUGUGUAUGAUUUUAUAAUACUUGAAAUAUUAUGACUGUACAUGAUUUUGUAUACUUUUUGGUUAAUAUUAAAAAUAUUUUGACUUAGUUAAAAUA